RNAcentral lists this unclassified non-coding RNA (345 nucleotides) under soil metagenome. Its description in RNAcentral is "partial contains 5.8S ribosomal RNA, internal transcribed spacer 2, and large subunit ribosomal RNA". The stretch from base 1 to 119 matches the Rfam family "5.8S ribosomal RNA", at positions 35 to 154 of the family's 154-position model. The record is from RNAcentral.
GAUGAAGAACGCAGCGAAAUGCGAUACGUAAUGUGAAUUGCAAAUUCAGUGAAUCAUCGAGUCUUUGAACGCACAUUGCGCCCCCUGAUAUUCCGGGGGGCAUGCCUGUCCGAGCGUCAUUGCUGCCCUCAAGCACGGCUUGUGUGUUGGGCCCCGUCCUCCGAUUCCGGGGGACGGGCCCGAAAGGCAGCGGCGGCACCGCGUCCGGUCCUCGAGCGUAUGGGGCUUUGUCACCCGCUCUGUAGGCCCGGCCGGCGCUUGCCGAUCAACCCAAAUUUUUAUCCAGGUUGACCUCGGAUCAGGUAGGGAUACCCGCUGAACUUAAGCAUAUCAAUAAGCGGAGGA